Monopterus albus (swamp eel) is the source of this 691-nucleotide long non-coding RNA. RefSeq lists it as uncharacterized. The record is from RefSeq and is a predicted model, not a curated record. The transcript is spliced from 3 exons. Lineage: Eukaryota; Metazoa; Chordata; Actinopteri; Synbranchiformes; Synbranchidae.
UAAAAUAUUUUAGCACAAAGAUUUUUUUCAAAACUUUUUUUUUUUAUCAAUAUGUCCCAUUUCUGUCCUAAAUCAAUUUAAUGUACCUUGACAAAAAAAAAGUGUUAGGUUAAGCCAAAGUCCACCUCCCACCUUUUCUAGAAGUGUCACCAGCCAAAGUCUUCAAUGGCUGAUUUGGUUGUCUAAAUGUAAUGACUGAAGGAGAAAAAACAAUUUGCAGCAUGGUUACUACUGAAUUCCUGUGUGACUUAUUCUCCUUGUAUCAAGUUUCCUAUUUAGGGGAAAAAUACAUGUUCCCCCCCUAUUUAUUUUUAUUUAACAGGAUCCUAAAAACAACCGGAUUGGACAGUGGCUAAAUGAAACAUCCGGUGGUAAAAUAUUGCAGCUUUCUUACUCUUUGAACUCUGAGGCCCAUGAAGGAACCUACCAAAUCAUUGUGUCAGAUAAAUACCGUCACAGCUUCAAGGUGGAGAAAUAUGUUCUGCCUAAAUUUGACGUAAAAAUAGAUGCAGCUGAUGUAGUGAGUAUUUUCCAGAAAGAAAUCAAAGCUGAAGUGUGUGCAAAGUAUACAUAUGGACAAUCUGUGCCAGGAAGUGUUAAAAUUGAGAUGUGCCGACCUCUUCAACAUUAUUUCAGCCUCAAUCUUGAAGAGGCACUUCGUGAAAUAACUAUACCAUGCUACAAGGAGACA